GAAGGCGUAGCUCAGUGGGUCAGAGUGUAGCCACUGGACGGCUGAGGGCGCGGGUUCGAAUCCUGCCGCCUGAACU
This is a non-coding RNA of Phanerochaete sordida, 76 nucleotides long. The record is from the annotation of a GenBank genome assembly. NCBI's taxonomy places the organism in Eukaryota, Fungi, Basidiomycota, Agaricomycetes, Polyporales, Phanerochaetaceae.